Non-coding RNA from Aegilops tauschii subsp. strangulata, 4244 nucleotides. The record is from RefSeq and is a predicted model, not a curated record. Lineage: Eukaryota; Viridiplantae; Streptophyta; Magnoliopsida; Poales; Poaceae.
CUUUCGUAUCUCACCCCGCACGUAAAACUAACCUCAAUCUCGAUCUGUUUCAUCUCAGCCUCCAGCCCCGAGAGGAGCCGCCGCCGCCGCCGAGAGGAGACGCCCCAGCCCCGAGAGGAGCCACCGCCGCCGAGAGGAGACGCCCCAGCCCCGAGAGGAUCCGCCGCCGCCGCCGGGGAACGAGGUCGCCGCCGCCUUCCUCGCCCGCGGCCAUGAUGACCGAUCUGGCGUGGGCGCCGCAGAUCACCCUCUGGUCCAUGGCCUCGACCAGUUUGCUAUGAUCUGGCGACGGGGAUGCAAGGAGAAGCUGCUGCGGUUUCAAGGGGCCGUGAGGAUGCCCACCAUGAAGGCGUGUCUGGGAUGAUGGAGGUGAUAUCCAGGCCCUGGUGAUAUCGGCCAGGUCCCCGUUGCCGUCGACUGGCGGCGGCCACCGUGUCCUCUUCCAUGGCGUCGGCAGGGCCUUCCCCUGCCAAGCGCAGCGGCUCCUUGGCUGGAUCACCGUCGCACACCUCGCCGGCGUGGUCGGCAAGAUCUGCAUCUCGAUCCUCGCCACUCUCCAUCCUCUUGCAGGUAAUAGGCUUUCCGCCCCCUCUUUUAUCUCCCGCGUUCUCGUGUGCACGGAUUGUGAGCGUGAAGGAAUAUUUCUCUUCUAUUUCAUGGUGCUGCUGUGCUCCUUCUGCCUUCACACUGCACAUAUAUAGAUUCUUCAAAGGAAUUGGAUGCUGAUAAUAUCAACUUAGUUCCCUGAAUGUGAUAUAUAUAUUCUUCCCUCGCUUUGAAUUGAUUGACCCAAACAAUAUAUCUCUGGUUGACAGUCAUGGCCUAUUAUUAUUGUUGUUAAUUUACAACACUCUGCGCUGUAUUGUCCAAUCAUGGUCCAAACUUAAACCUUGGAUGUGGAUUCAUUGUAUGUACCAUAUGCUGUUCAUAGCUACAAAAUUGCAAUCUCUUGAAAAUGUUCUUGAAUACAGUAAUUUUUUUGUCACAUAACCCAUAUGCUGAUGAUAAAGUUUGUUGUAUGAGCUUGUGGCAUACUGAUCUGACAGGUGGCAGGUAUGCAUUCAGAUGUUGCAGCUCUAAGGAAGGGUAGUAUAUGGCACAUGGCUUCGUGGGUUGUUCGACAAGAAGUGUUUUGGGCAUAUUCGAAAGGCAAUCUUGUCAAAAUUGUACAUCGAUUUUCUUAUUCCGCCAUCAGCUUCUAUUGAUAUGAGCGAUACAAAAAGUUCAGCACUGAAUUUUAGUAUGUUAACUUGCAAGAUUUCUCGUGACUAUGUUUUUUUGUGCAAGGUUUAUAAAUUUCAAAAUAUAGUUGCAGCUUCACGGAAUGGACGGCCCAAAUUAUGUUAGUGUCUAUAUGUUUACUUGGUGGUGGUCUAGCGUGAGUGACACCUGCAUCUGUAACUUACCCAUUGGAUGUUGUUCGAAAUCACCUGACAACACAGAAAACCACUAGGUAUUACAAGGGCAUCUUUCACACGUUGUCUACAAUUUGUAGAGAAGAGAGUGGUAGAGGAUUGUAUAAAGGCCUUUGGUCCACCUUAUUGGGAGUUGGACCUGAUAUAUCAAUCAACGUUUAUGUAUAUGAAUCCCUGAGGUCUCAUUGGCAAAUGGAAAGUUGAAUGUCAAACUGUGCGACCAAUGAUUUGCUAUGGUUAAUUCCAGUUGGGUGUGUUAACCUACAGUAAUCAAUCAAGUCAACAAAUAUAACAAUGAUACUUUGUCUUCUGAUUUUUGGUGGUGAUUUUUUUUUGUGACUGAACUAACAGGAGCUGAAGCAUGUGUUCUUAUUUUUUUAUAUGACUAGAUGCAUAUGAACUGAAGCUCCAUAAUUUUCUUUUCAAGUCGACAUUGGUGGCAACCAAUACAAUUAGUGUUAUUUACAACCAAUGAAGUCUUAUAAUUUUCUUUCUUAGAAAUAUACAGUGACACUGACUAUCAUUUAGUAGCUCUACAGGCACUAGCCAAAAACAAUAAUGUUUAUUUAUUUAACCACCAAAUAGAACAAUAGGUUAUUCUGCAUUAUGGGUACACAAAUCACAACACUAUAUUUCAGCUGUAGAAAUCUGUGUGGAUGCCUGCUGAUAUUUUAAGCCUACAUAUUGCCGAUUUGGUUUGAGGAAUGCUUGAAGCAUAAUUUACUCCCUAAUGUGCAAAUAGCAGUAUCAUUUUUUGUCAAGAAACUGAGAAGACGGAAGAGAGUUGGUGUUGUCAGUGUGGUGAGCCUAUGCGGCAACCACAAGGCUGAAGUCUGCUUUGAUCAUUGUUCAAGAUUUGAGCCUUGGCUCCGGUUUUGAUAGCUCUAUAUCAGGAGUACAUGUCAUGAUUGUUGGAUACACAUGCAGACUUUCAGCGAGUUUUUGUUCUCGGACUUGGGAUCCACAGUCCAAAGUUGAUUGGUGGAUCAAGUGAACUUGGUGCAUCUCCAUUCAAGCUGGCGUACAAUUACCAGCCUGCUUGUUUAGCGCAGUCUCCACAAUCAUAUAAGCAAAUGAGCAUCUGUGGUGGCUUUGGGCGCGUGUUUGAGGCUGGUCCGGUAUUUAGAUCAGAAAAAUCAAACACUCACAGGCAUCUGUGUGAGUUUAUUGGGUUGGAUGCAGAAAUGGAGAUUAAGAAGCACUACUUUGAGGCAAGGAAGAUUUGGAGGAAAUAUUUCUUUAGUUUGUCUAUUGAAGCGAUGCUGACCAAGUACUGAUUUUUGUUUUCAGGUUUGUGAUAUCAUAGAUUGCUAAUUGUAGCAAUAUUCAAACACCCAAAUGAAAAUUGUCAGAAGGAACUCGAGACAAUAAAUAGGCAGUAUCCAUUUGAACCUCUGAAGUACCUAGAGAAAACGUUGAAGCUAACGUACGAGGAAGGGAUUAAAAUGCUCAAGGAUUUCCGAUCCUAGCGGGAAAAGGAGGGAAACGGCGGCGCCCUUGGGCGUCGUUAUCCUUCUUGAAGGCAUCUCGGAAGAGUUCAUCCACUCAUCUCUGGGGUGUGGGCAAGUUGGUGGUUCCAUUCUGGAAUCCUCUAGGCAGGGUGCUUGCAAUCCCCUACAUCUCGGCUGCAACAAAAAAGACCCAACGAGGUGCUAGAAGGAGAACUGGGUUGUGGUGGUGUUGCUGGUCGUUUUCCUUUUUACUUUUGCACUUUGGCCGUCAUAAACGACACAUGCUUGCUCCCCGGAUGGAUCUCUUUCUCUCCCUGGAUCUUUUAAACAGGUGUUGUGAUUAAAAUUGUGAUAAAUCAGUGUUCAUCACUAUUCUUUUUGGACUUGAAUAGAUCUAUGUCUAAAUUACACAUAAUGUGUAGGAGAAAAUUACUAUAGCUGGACUUUCAUGUCUUUCUUGAAUCCAUGGCAAAGCAUAGUCACCUUAACUAUGUUGCUUUGCACAUGUCUUCUCAUGGCCUUAUUAAAGAUCUUGUUUCCAUGGCUUUAAACACAGGAUGAUAUUUUUGUAGCAUAUUUCAUAUAAGUUUUCCUCCUAUAAGGCUAUAAUUUCAAAUUCAAGCCCACCCAACACACAAAGUUUCUAUCUUCUUAUUUUCUAUACAAGUAGUAGCUGGCGCAGCGGUGGUGUUGAUGAACGACACCCAAUGCAGAGGCGGCAGUUACCACAGGGAAGAGGUCAAGAACAUCUAGCUCUUGUGGUGUUCCUCCUCAUUGUUGUCAUCGCCAUCAACAGCAACAAUGACGACCGGCUCAUGAGACGGCUACUAGAGAGGGAGCGAGGAAGGGGGAGACAGAUCUUUCAGGAGCUCGGUCAAAAAUCACCUAAGGAAAAUAUGUCGUUCUUCUCUACAAGGGUUGCAUGUGGAAUUUGAGGAGAAUCUGUGCACCAGCAUCCGACUCCUUGAUGUUGCUCUGAUCAUAUUGUGUAAAUAUAUUUCUAAUAAAGCAAUCGCCCGAUGGUGUACAUGUUGUAAAUAACAAGAUGUAAUCAUCAAGUGUGAGAGAUGGCAACAUCAUGAUGGGAUGGUAUGUACUGUUGUGCUCAUCAAUAGAGUUAGAUCACUUUUCUGUCUGAGAGUCGAUUUUUUUGUGCGUUAGAUGGAUUGACAAGUACCAAAGAUUGAUGCCAAGCAGAACUAAAACCUGUCCAUGGAUUACCUUCGGUCCCGCAUUCCAAUCAACAACAUUGGGCCGAGCGAGCGCGCGGGUGGCGCAAGAGGCAAUGGGCAGCCGGUGGAGACUGAGUGGUGAGCGGCGGUGGCGAGGUCGAGCGGUUGGCACCAGCGGCGAGUAGGCAAUUACCGUGAUGGGCGAG